Molecule: long non-coding RNA, 4495 nt
Organism: Cydia pomonella (codling moth)
Lineage: Eukaryota; Metazoa; Arthropoda; Insecta; Lepidoptera; Tortricidae
Exons: 2
Source: RefSeq, a predicted model, not a curated record
AUGAACUAUUUAUAAACCUUAUCCAAUAGGGUAACGUAUGCUCAUAUAAAUGAAAUCACACGGGUAAAAAAAUUUAAAAUCCAAAACUUAACAUUUAACGAAGUACCUAAUUUAAGUAUCAUAGUCGAUUAUAUGUAUAUGAAAGAACUACCUAUCUACUAUCUUAAGAUAUGUGAACUAAUAUAUAUAUUUCACUGCCAGUGACAUAGUCCAGUGAGUUUUAGUUAGGUUUAUUAGAAAGAACAUACGCAAUGCGCCAAAUUAAAAACACAUUUUUAAAUUCCUGACAAGUGACAGCAUAUCAAAAACAACCAACGUAAUUUGGUCGGGUUAUUUGUUGCCCACUAUAGAUAGAUAGAUAGAAUUUUUAUUGGUAUUAAUCAUACACUGUCAGUUACAUUAUAAUAAUUAAUAACAAAAUGAUGCCAUACUAAAAUUUACGGUGGGGAAUAAAAAAAAUGAAACUGUGACAAUGACAAACAAUCAUAGCGCUUUCUCUGCUACUCCAACUGUUCCAUAAGAGUUCCAUCUCGUUCGGUCAUCUGCCGGCUCAACCAUUUCAUCUCUAUACAUAUUGUACCACUAUGAUUUUAUGAUAUUUCAAUAUUUUGUUAUUUCAUUUCUUUGUAUUGAUUUACCACAAAUUAAUAAAAUGUAUUUAUAACAACCAAUUUUAUGCACAUACUGACUUUGUAACAUUAUUCUUAAUAAAUAACUUUGCAAUAUUUCAGCAGUUUUAUUGUUUCAAAACUUUACUCUCCUCUAUGUGCGAAAUUAUAUUUAGCCAGUCGCUUUUCAGUCAAGAAAAUCAACCAGAGGUAACUCAAGAUAAAAUAGACAGUGUAUAAGUACGGCAUACUUAGCAUUAUGUUACCGGCGGCAUCAUGGUUCCAUUUUUAUCACUUGUCACUAUGCCCGUCACUUUCGCACUUACAUACUCAUUAGAACGGGACAAGUAUGGUGCCAAAUGAUAAAGAGCCGACCAUCUUAGCCCUACUGUAGUGCUUAUUUUUGAAGCGAACGACACAUUAUCUUACAGGUCUCAAUGAAAAAUAAUUUAAAUGUAUUGUAUCACUAGCAUAGCUAUUUUAAGAUAAGGAUAAGAUAAAGAACGUUUAUUACUCAAGUAGGCAUAUUACAAUGCGCUUCAAAUAAAGCUACACCAGUUCUAACCUACACACCUACCGAAUAUUCGGCACACAAGCGUUCAUUUUUAUGUCAACUUCAAUUUGCCAUGUUUUUUUUUUUUUUUUUUUUUUUUAAUGGCUUCGCGCUCCUGGCGCAUUCAGCCAGACGAGUAAAACGGGGAAACGGAAUUAAGGAUUACAUUAAAACGGGUAGGACGGAAUUUUGGAAAAGGAUCAGGAAAAGGUUAAUAAUUCAAAUAAUUUAAAGUUUAAUGUUGUGACGUGAAAUAAAAGAAUACAAUGAUUUAAAUAUAUAUGGAGAUGAAUCAUUAAUAUACAGGAGUGUUGUAAUAGAUGUGGGAAACGGAACUUUUAAAUCUGACAGCUGUCUUAAUAAUAUAGAACGGUCAUAUAGGUUACAAUUACCAGAAAAAAAGAUAUGAUUAAGAUCAGCGGGAUCAGUUCCACAAAUACAUGCAGAACUGGCCACACGAUUUUGUAGUUUCAGGUGUUCCGGUGUACAUACAUGGCCCAAUCUCAUACGAAUCAACAUACUAGUUGCAGGCUUUGGCAAAGAGAUUUUAGCAAACCAAGAAUUCCAAAGCACUCGCCACUGUACACAGAGGACUCUGGAGGCAACUUUAUUUUUUGGUAAAUAUUAGACUGGGUGUGAAGUACACCAAUGCCAACACACCCAUUGUCAGACAUCUUAGAAGCAUCUGUGUAUAUAUGAUCAGCAGCUAGGCCAUCUGUUCCAAUGAAUCCCAGGAAUUGUUGAUUUUGUUCAACAUCAUUCUUAGAAAUGCCGAUAUUAAGGAGAACUGGAGGAUCAAGUAUUACAGAUUCAUAUUCAUACUGGAAAAUGGGAAGUGUUGAAGAGCUAACAGUGGGAGCUGAAAUAGAUUUAAGUUUUUGAAAACUUUUAAUCAAACAUGGAGGACUCUUGUGCUUCCAGUAGUUAGAAGUAGUUAUUUGAAGCAGGAGGUUAGACAAGAUAACCCAGAGUUGAUGAUUAGAAAAUUGGGAGCAGCGGAAAAUAAACCUAUCACAAAGAUAUUGGCGUCGUAAAUGGAGUGGAGGCUCAGCACACUCAACUUGCAUAGCAUUGAUAGGGCUUGAAUUCAUGGCACCGCAUAUCAUUCUCAGGGCUUUUGAUUGAAUACGAUCUAAUUUUUGGAAGCCUGCUACAAAUCCUGGCUCUAACAAAAAUGUUCCAUAAUCUAGAAUACUUCUUAUCAAGGCAUUAUACAUUAAUUUUAUGCAAAGAGGAUGCGAACCCCACCAAACUCCUGAAACACACCUAAGGAUAUUAAUAUUUUUUUCACAUUUAGAAACUAUGUAAUCACAAUGUGGAAGACCUGUUAAUUUAUUAUCUAAAAUAACACCUAGGAACUUGGUUUUAUCUUUAAUGGGAAUGGAGCAGUUAUUAAAUUGCACAUUGAUUGGAGGAGGAAACAGUUUUCUAGUAAACAAAACUACAACACUUUUAGGAACUGAGAGUUCCAGACCAUUUGAAUCUAACCAUAACUUCAAUAAACCCAAAGAACAAGUAAUGGAUCUACUGGCCUGUUCAAUAGAAAGGUUUGGUGAAUAUAAUAAUAAAUCAUCAGCAUAUUGCAAAAUUCUGACAGUGCCAUUUAAGGAUGACUCUAAAUCGGAUGUGUAGAUAUUAUAUAGCAAUGGACUUAAUACGGAACCUUGUGGAAGACCUCUCCAAACUAAACGGGAAAUCCUAUUGUUGUCAUCUAUAAGAAGGCUAAUGGACCUUUCUGAUAAAAGAUUUAUUAUGAAAUUGCUUAACAUUAUUGGUACAGCUAAUCUAUGAAGUUUUGCUUGUAAUACUGAGACUAAAACAUUAUCAUAAGCGGCACUUAUAUCAAGAAAAGCAGCUACUACAGACUCAUUUCUAGAAAAUGCUAAUCUAAUUUCUGCAACUAAUAUACCCAAACUAUCAUAGGUAGAUCUACCUUUUCGGAAUCCAAACUGACUAUGAGAAAGUAAUUGGUUUUUUUCUACAAAAUAUUCUAAUCUGUUUUUAAUCAAAUGUUCUGCUACUUUAACAAAUACUGAAGAAAGGGCAAUUGGACGAUAAGAAGAAACAUCUGUUGCUUGUUUGUUGGGUUUUAAUAUAGGAAUAACUAUUUGAGAUCUCCAAGAAUCCGGGACUGUACCAGAUUGGAUGACAAAAUUUAUUAUAUUCAGAUAAUAAGAGAGAAUACCAUCACUAGCAUUUGCUAAAAAGGAAUAUGGGACUCCAUCAUCCCCAGGUGAAGUAUCUCUUAAACUACUUAGUAUACCUUUUAACUCUUCUAUUUUAAAAGGCCCAUUAAAUACAGUAUAAUAGGAAGAGUCAAAUGAAAAGGCAGCAGGGUGGAAAACAUGUUCUUCGGGGACUGAUGCUGGUGCUAAUUUGUCCAUGAACUGAUUAGCAAGGUUAGGAGGAAGUGUCUGUCUAGAUGGCUCAUUGAAAGCAUGUCUGAAUCUUUUAAUAUUAUUCCAUACUAUGGAUGGUUUCACGUUAGGACUAAGAGAUGAACAAAAUCGUCUCCAGCCUUCGAACUUUUUUUUGCGCAGUAAUUUUUUAGUCUCACGAGCAACUUGUAUAUAUAUCUCGAAAUUUUCAUUUGUCAUCGAAUGACGAUAACUUCUCUCUGCCUCCUUGCGGUUUCUGAUUGCUUGAGAACAAUCAUCAUCCCACCAAGGAGGAGAAGGUAUUUUACCUGAUACACUGUUUUUUACAGGGAAAAUUUUGGUUUUGGAGAUGGAGGAAUGGAAGAUGGAAAUGUAAUAAUAAUAGGGUAGUGAUCACUCCCAUAUGUUGAAUCUAAGGUAUGCCAAGAGAGAGAGGAUGCAAGAUCGACCGAACAAAUAGAUAAAUCAAUAGCGCUAAUUGACUCUGUUGGCGCUGUUCGGCGGGUUGGAGAGCCAGUGUUUAAAACACAAAGGUUGUGUUCGUCUAAGAUAUGUAUGAGACGAUCUCCAUUAUAAUUAGAUGAUGAACUACCCCAAAACUGGUGAUGCGAGUUAAAGUCUCCUAAAAUUAACACGGGCCUAGGGAGAGAAGAAAUUAUUUGUUCAAGCUCAUCAAAAAUGGAUGAUGAUGGAUGAGGUAUAUAUACAGAAAUGAUACAGAUGUUAUUUACAAUGGCAGCAACAAUUGAAAAAUCAUCGCUAUGGGAUGGAAGAUUAUAAGGUGAAAAUGAAAUGGAAUUCCUGACGAGUAGAGCUACACCGCCCCAUCCGCCAGGACGGUCCUCUCUGAGGCAUGAAUAUCCAGUAGCUCUAAGAAGAGCUCCAGGCUUUAGCCAUGUCUCAGAGAGGGCAAAAACAAAAGGUUGAAAUUUGUUUAAUAAAUGUAUUAGAUCUUG